UACGAAGGGGGCUAGCGUUGCUCGGAAUUACUGGGCGUAAAGGGCGCGUAGGCGGCACUGUUAGUCAGGCGUGAAAUUCCUGGGCUCAACCUGGGGACUGCGCUUGAUACGGCAGAGCUUGAGGAUGGAAGAGGGUCGCGGAAUUCCCAGUGUAGAGGUGAAAUUCGUAGAUAUUGGGAAGAACACCGGUGGCGAAGGCGGCGACCUGGUCCAUUACUGACGCUGAGGCGCGAAAGCGUGGGGAGCAAACAGG
This 253-nucleotide ribosomal RNA is filed under the name uncultured bacterium. Its description in RNAcentral is "partial 16S ribosomal RNA". It matches the Rfam family "Bacterial small subunit ribosomal RNA", at positions 524 to 776 of the family's 1533-position model. The record is from RNAcentral.